UGCCAGCAGCCGCGGUAAGACGAACCGGACAAACGUUAUUCGGAAUUACUGGGCUUAAAGAGUGCGUAGGCGGCUUGGCAAGUUGGGUGUGAAAUCCCUCGGCUCAACCGGGGAACUGCGCUCAAAACUGCCAGGCUUGAGGGAGAUAGGGGUGAGCGGAACAGAUGGUGGAGCGGUGAAAUGCGUUGAUAUCAUCUGGAACACCGGUGGCGAAGGCGGCUCACUGGAUCUCUUCUGACGCUGAGGCACGAAAGCUAGGGUAGCGAACGGGAUUAGAUA
Molecule: ribosomal RNA, 279 nt
Filed under: uncultured bacterium
Lineage: Bacteria
Description: partial 16S ribosomal RNA
Rfam family: Bacterial small subunit ribosomal RNA
Source: RNAcentral